GCGUCCCCAUCCCCGCUCCCGGCCGCUCCCCGCCUCCCCUCUGGCUCCUGCCGUUCCCCCUCCUCAGGAUCCCGCGCGGAGCUGUUCCCCAUCCCCGAUUUGCGGCGAACUCGGUGUCCCUUAUCCAAAAAUUCCGGGCACGGGGGAGUCAAGCCCGCUUCCCGUCUCCACCUUGCAGCGCCCGUCCCUCACCCGGGCUUCCCGGGACUGCCUCUGUGUGACCACCGCUCUCCUGAUUUUAAGUUUCUUGUCCCUCCUCUCCAUACUCCCCCAACUUUUUACUGCUGUUUUCUCACUUCGCUGCCGAGUUUAAGGUUUAUAUAAGGGAUCCUGUGUUUUUUGUCAAAACUGGGUUGAAAAGUGCUCCUUGGUUUGUUAUUUUCAGGCUGCAUCCCUCUCCCUUGUAGGGCAACUCGCAUAAGGAGUCUCCAUCCUACAGUUUUUUCCUUGGCGCUAAUGAAUUAAGCCAGAGCCGGCUUCUUCACGUGGAGUUGGCUUUCGGAAGCCUUUCGCUCUUAAAAGCAGCAAAUCGCUUGUGUAACGACUGAACGCUCUUUCAGGAGUCUCUUUUGUGAAGGGACCUGUUUUUGUCUUCAUUGCCUCCCCUUGGUGAAGGGCUUUGUUUCAUUUUGGUGGGAACUGGCAGGCGCUCGGGGCAGAGGAUAUCCAGCUUUCUUUCUGGGUUCCCCCUGGCAGGAAGAAGGGUGUUUAAUAGGUGGGCAUAAAACAGUAGAAGAAAGAUCAUGUACAUCUUAUGUGACAGCUAGGAGAGUAACCUUGGCAGGGAAAUGAGGCAGGGAAACAGCAAAGCAAGUUGGCAGCAGAGGACUUCAGGCAUGCUGCGGUCUGUGUGUUGUGCCGGUGGACAGAGCUGUAGUCCGAGGUGAACACCCCUCCCCUGCCGCUGCUGCCGAGCUGUGCCCCUCCUCGCGUGCUUUACAGUCAAUGACUUAAAGUGAACGUGAUACACAGAAAUGUGAAGCACAUGCAAUUCCUUAGGGAAAGCAGGUUUAGAAAUGCUUAGGCUCGUUUGUGUUUAGGUUCAUAAUGCAUCCCUUUCCAUUUCCAGUGUGUGGGCAGGUGCAGGCUCCCCAUUCAACAGGGAUACCCUACUUCUUUUGCCCGCUUGGCAUUCAGCACUGAAGCUGCUAAUUUAAGGACCUUUGCCUAGAGGCCAAACCUCUGUUGCAAUUGAUUUUUUAAAAAUUCUCAUAGCUGUGCUCAGUGCAUUGUAAUGCAGAGUAAUUUCACAUACCCGUCUUUGAUGUUAUGGGAGUGCUCACAUGUAUUUGUGGAAAUAAGGUUAAUUUGACUGAAUCUCAGGGAGUCUGUAAAUAGAAACAGAAAAUACACUUUGGCACAAUGAGUAAUGUGGGACAAAAGAUAUUUGGCAAAUAUCUAUUGUUUGUUUGGAGUUUUGUUUUUUGUGGGUUUUGUUUGUUUGUUUGGGUUGUUUGUUGUUGUUGCUGUUGAGUACCAAUGUUAGGGACAAGCUGAAGGAACAGUAUUGGCUGGCAUUUCUCUCGAGUGCUUCACAGCUAUUGAAAAAGAGUCUGGUCACAUUUAUUCUUUUAAAAGUUCUAUCGUUCUACUAAUUGCUGUGAAUCAUAAAACAGAAAAGUACAAAUCACCUCUUUAAUUACCUAGGAAAUGUGGGAAAAUGAAGGGAUAAAGCUGUCUGAAGGUUCAGCCUUGAGAAUUGCUAGGACAACAGGCAACCUGUGUUUCCUCUUGCUAACAAGCAUUGUAACUUCCAGCAUGAACCUCUGCAACCCUAAGGCUUCCCUUUCCCCUGCGUUGAGCUGCUGGGAAAGAGCUGUUUGUUCCGAGCCUUGUGUUCACAGGCAGACACACAUGCAUGAAUGAGUUUUCCCUGAGAAAUGGGGAGCUGGGAAAGCUCAGUUACAGGAGCAGAGGAGGAGCUUUUGCUUCAGUUGUCGCUGCGAGUUCCUGUGAGUGUUUUUUGGGGUCUCUAAGGAGCUGCUGGCAGGGUCUCUGGGAUGCACUGCUAGCAACAGGGGAAUGCCCUGCAGACCUGGCAAAGUUAACGGAAGUCCAUUGGCAGGCUUUGCCAACGGGAUGCGCCUUUACGUGUGGGAGGUUACAUUUAGAGUGAGCCAGGAGCCUGAUUUUGCAGUCGAGGCACUGCUAGGGGGCUGGUUGCUUCUUGACUCGAUAAAAGAAAAUCCAUGUAUUCAUGGAUUCUGGCUUGACAACUCCGUGGUAAAUCCUGAUCUCCCUUUCAGGAAUUGAUUGAUUUAUGAACGUAAAUUAUACCUGUCUUCUCCAAGCACAAAAAGAACAGCUUCAGAAUGCAUUGUUUGCAGAUGAAAUCUGGUAGUAAUUCCUGUUAUAAAAAUGGUGGUAACUAUACCUGAGAGGGAAUUUUUUUCAGUUUGUUGCCCUGCCAGGAACAAUUCUCCAGACCAGCAGCUGCUUUCCCUAAGGAAGUCUGAUAAACUGUAGUCUCCUCACUAGGAGGGAGAAGUUUAAAUGUAGGAUGAGACAGGAGCUCUGAACUCUCAUUCAAGCAGCAUCGUGUGCUGGCUGUGUGACUUUCAGCAGGUCGCUGGCACGGGCACAGGGGUGUGCAGUCCCACAGUGGCAGCAGCACUGCGUGCAGGCAGUGUGUACAUUGUGCAUCUGCUGCUUUAUGAGAUAGCAGGUCUGUCUCUCUGUGAUGGCUUGCUGCUGAGUCAAAGCUGGUUCCAGGGGCAGCAGUGGGGCCUCGGGGAGAUGGGAAUCAAGGCUGGCUAGGACUGUAAAGCCAGCAUGAUAGGAACAUUUGUGUUAGGGAAAUGCUUUGCUCAGAGGUCAAACAAGCAGGACUGCAGAGCAGAAGGUAUGAUCUGUUCAUCUGGAGAUGUCCUUGUGCAUGUCUCCAUCAAAAACAAGUGAGCUUUCCAAAAAUACCUGUUACGUUAAAAGUCAGCCUGCAUUCGUAAAAAAGACACUGAGGCCUGGAAUUCCACCUAUUGUAUCUAAGAUGUUUUACAAAUGUUUCCACAUGACUCACCAUAGCUUCUAUUUUUUACUACACACUCAUUUUGGAGUGAUUCUUAUAGUUUCUGGUGCAUUUGUGCUUCAUCUUAUUCCUGAAUGCAAGUUAUUGCAAUAUUGUGACUGAUGCCUAGCAACUGCUGAUUUCACAUUUUAAACUUCCAGAAGAAAAAAACCUUAGAUAAUACUGGCAUUCCUCCUUCACAGAGAGAUUUUAAAAACAGGAUUAACCUGAGCACUGGAAACUGAAGAUAUACAGCUAAGUUCCACUUCCCUUAACUCUUCACAGAAUUCCUGUGUUUCUGUGUCUCAGGAAUUUUCUCUGCUCUUUCCAUAUGUUGAGUAGCUGGCUAAAGGCCAUCACUUCCAUGGUCCAUGUUUGGAUAUGUAUGCCAGUUGGAGGAAUUAGUGUUGGAGAUCCACUCUGCUGUUGAUUGUGCAGACUGCCCUGAAAGCUUCGAAGGUGAGGGGUGAGCAGCAUGAGGAGUACAAGAAGAGGAGUAAAGGUCUUCAAUAUCUGUCUGAAAGUGAGCUUGCUGCUUUCAAAGCCACGCUGAGAUUUAGAGAUUCCUGUCUAGGUUAUUUCUGCCAUGUUUGCUUGUGUUUUGUUCAGACACAUAUAUUUGCAAUUAAGAUGCAUAUCUAAAACCAUGUUCCCUCUCCCUGCCACCCUCAGGCUUCUGGUCAUCAAUGUCCAAAAUUUCAUAGCCAUGUUUGCUGGGUGCCUAGAGCAUGCAAGUGUGGCACAUUCCACUGUCUUGUCUGAGUGCAGGGAGAGGAUUUGCAGACUGGGUCUCCUUAGAGAUAUCCACACUCUAAGGUGAUUUGAUACAGCCUUGCAGCAUGGAAUUCAGAGUAGAUCACAGCCCUGAUUCUUAUUUCUAAGGGGUAAAGAAACCCAACCCAAACUUGAUAAGCUUAGCAGUUAGUCCUUUUGACCACUGAGUUGUGGACCAGAAUUCAUUUUGAUGUAGCUGUUUCCUGCACAAGAGUGCCCUAAUGUGAUGGUAGAGAUGAAGCGGGAAAGGAGGUCUGAGAGGACAGAGCUCAUCUUGCUCUCCCUAAGCUGAGGUAGUCUUUACAGGCAGCUCAAGACUCAAAGAGCCACAUAAUCAGACUGAAAGAGUUUUCUUGUGUCCCUGCCCUUCUCUCUCAAAAGGUAUAUAUGAAGGUGGCAGAUAUUCUAAUGGCUUUUAACAGUCAUUUCAGUAGCCUAAAAAAAGAAUUCAUUGUUUAUUAAAAAUGGAACAGAAAUAUUUGCAGACAUUGCAUGUCACACAGGCUUCAGUUUUCCUGUGAUCAUCUUUGUAAAAUAUUUUGAGGGGAACUCAAAAAAUGCAUUAUAGAAGAGGUGAAUAUUUACUAUUUAUUCCGUCUUUGACUAGGAAAGUGUUAGUGUUCCUUCAAUAACACUUACAUAACUGUCCUAAUUUUUAUACACUGUAUUAAGCUAACUUCUGUGUAUUUUAAAAUGGAUAUAUUUAUACAAAAGAUUUAAAAGUAGUAUAAGUUAAUCUUUUAUCAUUGAAAACAUGAAAAUCCGUUGUUGUAUCUCUUAGAGCUGGUUGGAAAAAUCAGAUUUUUAUAAUAGUCUUAAAAAUAACAUUCAGUAGUCUAGACAGAAUUAAAUAUUAGCUGGCAGUCAUUAGUUAUUUUUUUCAGAAUAAAAAGUGAUCCAAAUAUGAGUUAGCAGUGCAUUAAAUACCUUUCUAGUAGAUAAAUGAUUUAGAAGUACAUGACAGAUUUUAAAUGCACACUGACAUUUUUCUUCCACAUAGACAUGUAAUACCUAUGCUAAAGAGGCUGGAUUAGAAAAGACUGGCAGAGAAAGGAAUAGCUUAAAAAUGAGAGGAACCAGUAAGAAAAAAAAAAAAAAGGAAAAAAAAAAGGCUAUUUGAAACAGGUUUUUGCUUUGUUACAAAGUACCAAGUACUCUCUGUUUCUGCACUGGCAGCAGCAGUUUUACCUGUGAAACUGAUACUGUUACUGUGAUAUUAAUUACACCGGGUCAGCAGCUCUUCAGAGGUACGGUGAACACAACCCAGUAGAAUGAUAGUGAGUAGAAUGAGGCAACCAGUAAAUAGAAGGGCUCAGAAGUAAAAUGAGUAGCAAAUGUUUUGGAAGUUGUCCCAGUCCACAGAAAUUGGCUGCUAACUGCUUUAGUUAAAUUUGGUACAGUUUUCUUCUGCAGGGAAGCAAUAUUGACAUUUGUGCCCAAGGAUGCUGGUAUAAUUUAGAAGCAUUAGUCAUGUACCUUAUAUAUAAAAUGUUGCUAAAAGAAAAGGGAGAAUUAAUCUAUCCUCCCUCUGCAAUGUAGAUUGUGUACAAAUCAGCAGAGGAGGUUUAGAGCAGAUGCUUGGAAAGAAAGCUUUCUAGCAGGGAGAAUGGUGAAGCAGAGCAGAAGAAGCUACAUCAAGGAAUGACAAUUUUUUGAUUUGUAGAUCCCUUCUACAAAUGUUCCCAUGGAGAAUACACUUCACAGUCAAAUUUGCUAACAACAAACUUGCCUUUUGAAGUUCCUAACCCCUAAGCAUCCCAAUCCCUGAUCCACAAAAGCCACUAGCACAGGUUUUCUAUGCCUUAGCAUCUCCUUUGAAAUGAUGGUAAGUGGGGGCAGGUGCUCAGCCCAAAGCCUCAGUAAACAGCCACAGCAUCAGGCUGAGCUGAGCCGUAGUGCUCUCAUGUAAGUUUCAUUGAAGCAGAAUUUGGCUUUAAAUGGCUUGUGAGUAAUGCAGAGAACUGUGUGAGAACUGACAGGGAACGUGGCUGUGCUUAUGCUUUAACCCAUAAAAUUUUGUCCUGAGGAACUGUUGUAGUGAAGGAGCUCUAGAUCCUGUCUUUGGUAGUAAUAAAUCAGAAUUUUGCAUAGAAAUCUGCUGGAGUAUCAGUGGGAUGGGCAGGGGUGUGGGGUAGGAUGGUGAGCAUGGAUGUGAAUCUGUAGCCUGAGCAGGACAGAUCACAAAUCACACAGGGGUUGAAAUGACAGGGGAAAAAAGCUUGUGAGGUGUGGCAGUAGGUUUGCCCUCACAGAGGGCUUUGAAUCCCAAACAGAAACACAUUGACAUCAUGCUGCAAAAACAGCAGGAUGGUUGUUCCAGUCUGGAAGCCUUUUCACUAUAGGAAGUACAGCCAUGCUUCCUUUUCUCUGAUUUGCCUUGAUUCCCCUUGGGCUUUUAUAUUUUGUUACUGGCUUGGUAUCUUCCCUAUCCAUCAGUCCAGCGCAUCCCAUUAAGCAGCUUUUCUUGAUUGACUAAUGAGAUGCUAAAUUUAGCAAUGCUUUUAUCACUGUCUUUUAUUCCUCAGCUCCAUUUCCUGCGUUUCACUCAUUUCACUUGCUAUUCUUCAGUGGUUACUCUGUUGUUACUGUAUUUACUGCUGUAUGCCCAUCACCUGACUGGCAUUUCUUCAGUCAAUUGUUACUCAUCUCUUCUGUCAUUUCCUUGCCCACUCCUUCCCAGUUCUCCUCCCCCUCCUAUUUCAUUCAGGUUUGCUCUACCAUCUUCCCCACCCAGUACAUCACUCUCCUCCUAUGCCCAAGAUCCCCUUUCAAAAGGUAAACAGAGGACAAAAGCAUUUCUACCUUAAGAGAGCUGUCCAAGCCAGGCAGGAUGAAUCCUGCUGGUGGGGUCCCAUCUCUGCUCGUUAACUGCUGAAGUCUAACUAGGACAGGGCAGAUGCUUGACUUGCAGAGAGUGAAGUGUAAGAUGAAUACCAUUCAUGUAAGCUACCAGGACUUUAAUGCUGAGUGUUAACGCAGCUUGUGCUACCGUUGUUACAAUGACAGAUAGAAAAGUCAUUUAGGAAGCUGUUGGUAAGUCCUACGAUUUUUGACAGUUGUUUAACCCACAUCUCUAAAGCUAUUCAGAUUUAACAUUUUUGAAUCACUUUUUUUGUGUCCUGAUGAUUAGCAGCAUAAAAUUCCAGGUGCAAGCUGGCCUUUUAAUCCAAAUAAUAGCUUUUCCCCCAUCAUACAUAAAUACAGCCUUCACAUAUCAGUGUGUUAACUGCAGUAAUGCUACUCUCAGAAGAUUAAAAGAAAUAUUUCUACUUUCAUCUGCCUAGCAUAUCCCAAGGCUGUGAGGUAUUUCAGAAUUAGCAUAAAUACUGGUCUAGAUGCGCUCUUUCAGCUUUUACUUAAAGGAAUUGCUGUAUUCUUGACACCUGCUUAUUUCAUUCUUCAAAAAUGUAACCUGUAAGAAUAAAGUCAUCCAAGGACAGAAGUAAGAGCUCUGUAAGGGGUUACUUGAAUCUGACGUGUGGUGGCUUUACUGACAACUCACAGACACUGAGAUUGACCCAAGAUUAUUAGUUUAAAACUUCUUGGGUCAUUUCAUGCUGGUUUUAUGAGGUCAGUGAAAUACUUUUCAUUGACAGGGCUUUCCAAAACACUGUAUAUUGUAGAGUAUUAAUGUAAAUCUAUCUGGUUCUGCCAGCAUAAAUGCUGAGGCCACUACUGACCCAGUUCAGAAGUCGUGUGUAACAUGGCUCAUUUUGUAUAGAGCUCCCAAACUUUCACUGUGCACACAGGCAUGGGUGCUCUGUGCUCUGGCCACUCCCUUGCAGUCAGAGUAUGCCUGUCUUUGGCUUGUGGCAUUUUGAGUUUAGGUACAGACAGCUGGCACAGGACAGCCAAAGUACUGCAAUUCUGAACACUAAUAAUUUGUUCUCCAGGAAGUAUUAAUGGCACCAUGUGUGUUUAUCUUGUGAUAUUUACUGGUGCAGCAUAGUUGGGCAAAUGUAGCUUGAUGGUGCUGUGUAGAUACGCCCAACAGGAUGAUUCCCUCUGUCCAUGUUUGGAUGUUAAUGUAAACAGGCUGUUAGCAAAAUAAGCAAAAGAGAUGUGUCAUUAAAACCAGAGCUAAAAGAUCUUCAUAAGAAGGUUUGGCCAAUGUCCAUACCCAAAUAGCUAAUUGCUAACUUUGCAUUUACUACAUGGAGGAGUGGGAGAGAUUGGAAAGUUAAACUUAAGCAGGGAGAACAGUUGCAGGUAAAUACAUUUAUCAAUAACCUUAGAAAGAUUCAUGGCAGCCUCUCACUGGCAAUUAACCAGGCAAUGGCUUGGAGAGAAUCCAUAUCACAAGAAUUCCCUAUACUGCCAGCUGAAUACAUACUCUGCUCUUAUGCACUAUGGGCUGCUGCUAUUGAGUGAAAUGUUCUAGCUUGCUGCAACAGUUACUAGGGUGGAGGAGAGGAAUUUUUGAUAAACAAAUCUGAAGAUAUACAAAUAAUCAGCGGGAGAGAAGGUGCAUAUUUUUCUUCUGUGUGUGCCUACAUUUUUGUGGAUUGUUAAAUAUGUAUUUUAUAGUUUAUGUGAAAUAAGUUCUAAGAAUCUGCUAAUGUUUCUAGCUUAGAAAUGUGAACCACGCUGAUGUGAUGUCUUUGUUUUUUCCUGGCGUGACUCCUGCGAGUCUUGAUAAUAUGCAUGAUAAAUCUUUCACCUUGGCAGAGAGAGAGGGAAGUGUUUAAUAUUUAACCAAGGUUGUCUUUUAUUUCAGCAUCUAUCGAUAGGGGACUGUGGUUACAAAUAUGUAAAACUGUGUUUGUUUUUGCUGAGAAGAGUGCUUGGAAGGAAAAAGGGAUAACCUUUCCCCAAGGAAUAAGUUUCAAUUACAACAAAAGACGAGACUGUUUUUAGAAUAGAUUAAAUUAAGCCCACAUUACAUUGAAAUAGUUUAAUACUUGUUUAAAUAGAACCAUUUUUAAAGCACAGUAGUUAAAAUAGUGGCUUCUGAACCAGUGUGGUUAAGUUGUGCAAGAUGCUGUAUCAGUGCACUCGCUUGGUCAAGUUCUCACGCCAGACUGUCUGAUUUUCCCAGGGGGAGCAGUGUGUCAGGGUUUGUGUCAUAUUAUCUCCUGUUUACUGGGGAAAAUGGACCACUGAACCGGUUACCUGAAGUCACUGAAUCAGACUCAUAAUCUUUACAGUUAGAAAAGACCUCCAAGAUCGAGUCCAGUCUUUGUCUAAAUACCACAUCAACUAAAUCAUAGCACUAAGUGCCAUAUCCAGUUUAUUGAACUCUUCUAGGGAUGGUCACUUCAUCACUUCUCUGGGAUGCUAUAGGCUGCUAUUCCAAUGCCUGACAAGGCUUUCAGUGAAGAAUUUUCCUGAUGCCAACCUGAGGCUGUUUCCUAAUGGUACCUGGGAGAAGAGACUGACCCCCACUUGGCUCCACCCCACUUUCAGACAGUUGGAGAGUGAUAAGGUCCCCCCGAGCCUGCUUUCCUCCAGGCUGAGCACCCCCAGCUCCCUCAGCUGCUCCUUACAGGACUCACUUUCUAGACCCUUCCCCAGUUUUUCUGCCCUUCUCUGGACAUGCCCCUGCACUUCAAUGCCCUUCUUGAAGUGACUCCCAGUCAUGGACACUUCUUGCUACAGUAAUUUUUGCAUACCUAUGGCUUCUUCUAUGCUAGAUAAAGAUCACACUUCCAGUUCUGUAUUUAGUUAAUUUACAUCACUGGGAAAAACUGCUUCUGGUGAUAACAAACAUCCUGCCUGGCCUGCUUUCUGUCCUUCUCAGAAAUCUAGCAGAGGUUUUAAAGGGAAAAUACAGAAGUUAAAAAGACUAAGGCUUAGCAAUCUUUUUUCAUGAAUCCUUAAUAGAUCUGAGCUGCAGCUCAGGUCUGCUGCAGGUAGGAAAGAGUUGUGUAUCACAAUUUCCUCUAUUCAAUGCAUUUUUAACAAGUCCCA
This is a non-coding RNA of Taeniopygia guttata (zebra finch), 9688 nucleotides long. NCBI's taxonomy places the organism in Eukaryota, Metazoa, Chordata, Aves, Passeriformes, Estrildidae. The record is from RefSeq and is a predicted model, not a curated record.